Molecule: transfer RNA, 83 nt
Filed under: Methylobacterium mesophilicum
Lineage: Bacteria; Pseudomonadati; Pseudomonadota; Alphaproteobacteria; Hyphomicrobiales; Methylobacteriaceae
Description: tRNA-Val
Source: RNAcentral
GGCGCGCGGUCGGGCAGGCUUCUGGCCCGGCAUCGACCCACGGUCGGGGCGAGCGCGGCGGUGCAGCCUCCGGCAGCGCGACA